GGACAGAAGUGGAGGACGUGGCUCGAACGUUCCGGCGGCCGCAGGAGCAGACGGAUGCGAACAGGUGUGAGCGCAGACUGCAGGCGAGCCCGCGGAGCAGUAACACUGUAAUGGAAUCUUGAGAAGUUUUUUUGGAGAGCUGAAACUCGAGAUCUUUAAUUCUGAGUUCCAUUUGCAUUCUAAAUGAAGAAUUAUCCUUCUCUCUCCACUGCUGUAAUCUCUUUUGUGCUUCAUCCUUUAAAACAAAUUAAAAGAAUGCGUUUUUUAAUGUCCCGUCUGUACUGUUCCAACUUAUUGUGUUCCAGUGAAAUCCUUGCCAGGGAGGCUCACCCUAGGAGCCCAGCCACCUUGCUGUGAAGCACCCCAGGGCACCAAGUGAAUCCUCACAGAGAUGUGCCAACUGAGACUGAUGUAGCUUCUGUGCCAGCCAGAAGCUGACUUCAACUGCCAAACAAGUGCAUGUGGCACCUUUAGGUGAUUCUAGUCCCCAGUGGUGUAUCAUCCCAGCUGAUGCCAAGUGGAGAAGAAAGAAGCUCGCCUCACUGAGCCUUGCCUAAACUGUAGAUUUGUGAACAAAGAAUUGUACUCCAAGGGCUAAACUGUAGAAACCACAGCCCAGGCUCCUGUCCCAUCUGCACCUGAUGAAGAUGUAAGAUCUCAGACUCCAGCCUGAACUGGAUGCCAUCAUCACUGAGGCUUGGCACACAGAUACAGGGUAGGGAAAGGAAGGUUAUGGACCAACCUUACUGACUUGCUCCCAGUGAACAGAAUAUGGGAAGGUGAUGCUGUAUGAAUUCCAAGGCUGGUUGGCCGGGAUAGGCCAGGUGUUCCAGCUGCCCCGCCCAACUAAAGUCCCAGCCAGGGCCUGGCGCCAACAAUCGGACAUGUGAGUGAACUAGCCUCCAAAUGACUCCAGCCUCAGCCUCCAAGCUGUCCCAGCUAAAGCUGAAGGAAGCAGAGACAAGCUGUCCUGGCCACACUUUCCUGACGGAGGAAGAAAUAGGAUUCUGUCAAUUAUGCAUUGAGCUAUGAAGUACAGCUAUCCAUCUCUUUCGAUUUAAGUAAAAGGAGGUGGAUACAGAGAACUGAGGUUUCUGAGAAUAUAGGAUCAGCACCAAGAACAAGGUUGGCUUCAGGAUUACACACAAGAACCAGGUCAAAAGAAGAUUUAAUUGUGAAUAGAAAGAUGACAGAUUAGCCAGACUUCCAAAGAGAAAGCCAAAAGCCCAGACUUCAUCUCUUCCUUCCUAGAUGGUGAAAUCUAUGGAUCAGUCUAUGCCCUAUAGUGAGUCACUGAAACAUAAUGAACUACACAGACUGAGUCAGCAGAUCCUGUGAGCCAGACAUGCAAAUGGGAGUGAGGUGGAGGAACACUGGUGAGAGACUAAAGGUGUGGAUGGAGAAAAGAAAGGGAAUGGGCUCUACCUUUGUUGUUAGCCUGACUUCCCAUCAUGGCACGGUCAGCAGGGCACAAGCUGGACAAAGGCUCUGAAGCUAAAAGUGUCUGCAUGAGCUGAGAGAAGCAAGUGGUACUAUUAAAGAUGACCGUGAAAGAGUCCUCACAAUAUUUGAUUUGGUAUUGGCAUAAGGGUAGACAUGCAGCAACCGUAUUAGAAUUGGGGAUACAAAAUAAACUCUGGUGAACUGAUUUUCAACAAGGGUGCCAAAAGGUUAAAUGGGUCAAAAAUAAUCUUUUUAACCCAUGGUACUGGGGCCACUGAAUAUCCACAUACAGAAGAAUAAAAUCAGACCUCUACUUCAUAGCAUAUAUACAAAGUUAACUCAACAUGUAAGUGCAAAAAUUAUAAAACUCAUAGGAAAAAACAAAGAUGUGUAUCUUUGUGACUGGAUUUGGCAAUGGUUUCUUAGAUGACACCAAAGGAGAAAAGCAGAUUAACUGGAUUCAUCAGGACAGUGAAAAGGCAAGCUAUAGAAUAGGAGAAAAUACUUGAAAAACCUUUAUCUGGUAAUGGAUCUGUAUCUAUAAUAUAGAAAUAACUCUUGUAAUUCACUUAGAAAAGACAGUCCAAUAUUAAAAUAGGCAAAGGAAUCAAACAGCCAGUUCUUCAAAGAAGAUACCUGAAUGGUUAAUAAGCAUAGGAAAAGAUGCUCAAAAACAUUAUUCAUCAGAAAAAUGCAAAUCAAAACCACAGUGAGAUGCCAUUUCACACCCACUAUAGGAUGGCUACAAUAAAAAAGACAGAUGAUGACAGAUGUUGUUAAGAAUGUAGAAAAGCAUCAGAACCCUCAAGCACCACUUGGGAAAGAGUAAAUUAAGAAUCUUACUUAACUUCCUGCCUUUUACUAUGCUGUUUACAGCUGGGCCUGCAUGCUAAAUUAGUUGCCUGGGUUGCAAAUUAUUUGAUUAGUGCUGAAGGAGAAAAAGACCAGCAGAUAGGUAAAGUCAAAAAAUAAAUUGGGCCUGCAUAAUUAACACAAUAAAGACAUGGGCUAUGCUGAGGUACCCUCCUUUACCUGGGGAAUAUUCAAACAUUCCAGGCCAAGUUGUUCCUGGCUUUUUGAGUGUUAACUGAUUAACUCUGGGUCUUUUUCAGUGGGCUUUUUCCUGGCCUUACUCUUUUUCCACCUCACUCAUAUCUAUUUUUCUGACUAACAGCUGGAUAUAGAUAAUUUUCUUAAUUCUCUCUGUUUGGAUACAUACUAUACAUAAUCUGAAUCUUUCCACAUUUUUACAGAAUAUCUAAAGGGGAAAGGAAAUGAGGGAAGUAUCUCAUUUCAACUGGUUUAUAUAAUGACCUUUUGUACAAUUAACCUGAAAUCCACAAAAUAAAUGUAUUCUACAUCUGCAACAGUGAAGGUAACAAAAAUUACAAUUUUCUGAAACAUUCCAUUAAACAUUAUGAUGUGAUUUUAUUUGGCUUGCCUCAUCAUGGCAAAAGAGAGAUCUGUAAAAAAAACAAUGGUUGGUACUAAAAAACAAAGUCUCAGCUGAUGUGAAGAGUGAUGCUUAAUUUUGUUUUCCUAAGGAUAAAUAUUGUAAGAAAAAAUGGAUAAUAUAAAUGGCAGAACUAAAGUCAGAGUUUAAGAAAUAAGUGCAUUGUAAAGACAGAAUUGUAAUAAAUUUGUUGUAAUGAAAAUAUAAAAGCUGUCCACAGAAAUUAAUAUUCUAAAACACUGUGUAUUAUUUCAUUAGCUAUAGAUUAACUGUUGGUAUGUUAAAUUUCAC
Long non-coding RNA from Manis pentadactyla (Chinese pangolin), 3187 nucleotides. RefSeq lists it as uncharacterized. The transcript is spliced from 7 exons. The record is from RefSeq and is a predicted model, not a curated record. Lineage: Eukaryota; Metazoa; Chordata; Mammalia; Pholidota; Manidae.